Molecule: ribosomal RNA, 253 nt
Filed under: uncultured bacterium
Lineage: Bacteria
Description: partial 16S ribosomal RNA
Rfam family: Bacterial small subunit ribosomal RNA
Source: RNAcentral
UACGAAGGGGGCUAGCGUUGCUCGGAAUCACUGGGCGUAAAGGGUGCGUAGGCGGGUCUUUAAGUCAGGGGUGAAAUCCUGGAGCUCAACUCCAGAACUGCCUUUGAUACUGAGGAUCUUGAGUUCGGGAGAGGUGAGUGGAACUGCGAGUGUAGAGGUGAAAUUCGUAGAUAUUCGCAAGAACACCAGUGGCGAAGGCGGCUCACUGGCCCGAUACUGACGCUGAGGCACGAAAGCGAGGGGAGCAAACAGG